GCUGAAGAAGGAAAUGAUAAAUGGCUCUCUCUUGAUUUGGAGCAGUGUAUCCCCUUUUGGCCUGAGUAUGCUUCUAGUAAACUUCUUAUUCAAGUCGAAAGGAGUGAAGAUCCUCCCAAAAGGAUAUAUUUUAACAAGCAGGAAAAUUGUAUUCUAUUGCGUCUAGAUAACGAGCUUGGAGGUAUUAUAGCAGAAGUGAAUUUGGCCGAGCAUUCUACAGUUAUUACAUUUUUAGAUUAUCAUGAUGGAGCAGCUACAUUCCUCUUAAUAAAUCACACAAAGAAUGAACUUGUUCAAUACAAUCAAAGCUAGAAAAAUGCCAUUCUGUAAUUAUUAAAAAAUCAAGAAACAACAGAUGAUGGCAAGGCUGUGGAGAAAUAGGAACGCUUUUACACUGUUGCUGGAAGUGUUAAUUAGUUCAACCAUUGUGGAAGACAGUGUGGUGAUUCCUCAAAGACCUAGAACCCAAAAUACCAUUUGACCCAGCAGUCCCCUUCCUGGUUCUCUCAGUGAAAUAGAAGAUUCCCUCCCUCCUGGUAAAGCCGUGUUUUAUACAUGGGCUGAUCCGGUGGGCUCUAGAAGGCUGAAGUGGAGAUGUAG
This 600-nucleotide long non-coding RNA is filed under the name Homo sapiens (human). RNAcentral describes it as "long non-coding RNA NONHSAT219638.1". Lineage: Eukaryota; Metazoa; Chordata; Mammalia; Primates; Hominidae. The record is from RNAcentral.